AUUGAACGCUGGCGGAAUGCUUUACACAUGCAAGUCGAACGGUAGAGGGGGCAACCCCUUGAGAGUGGCGAACGGGUGAGUAAUAUAUCGGAACGUGCCCAGUCGUGGGGAUAACGUAGCGAAAGUUACGCUAAUACCGCAUACGAUCUAAGGAUGAAAGCGGGGGACUCGCAAGAGCCUCGCGCGAUUGGAGCGGCCGAUAUCAGAUUAGGUAGUUGGUGGGGUAAAGGCUCACCAAGCCAACGAUCUGUAGCUGGUCUGAGAGGACGACCAGCCACACUGGAACUGAGACACGGUCCAGACUCCUACGGGAGGCAGCAGUGGGGAAUUUUGGACAAUGGACGCAAGUCUGAUCCAGCCAUUCCGCGUGCAGGAUGAAGGCCCUCGGGUUGUAAACUGCUUUUGUACGGAACGAAAAGGUUUCUAUUAAUACUAGGAGCUCAUGACGGUACCGUAAGAAUAAGCACCGGCUAACUACGUAGCCAGCAGCCGCGGUAAAGUG
RNAcentral lists this ribosomal RNA (502 nucleotides) under uncultured bacterium. RNAcentral describes it as "bacterial SSU rRNA". It matches the Rfam family "Bacterial small subunit ribosomal RNA", at positions 30 to 527 of the family's 1533-position model. The record is from RNAcentral.